This 1990-nucleotide long non-coding RNA is filed under the name Sus scrofa (pig). RNAcentral's name for it is "lncRNA (ENSSSCG00065021967.1)". Lineage: Eukaryota; Metazoa; Chordata; Mammalia; Artiodactyla; Suidae. The record is from RNAcentral.
CAUAGGGAAGUGAGCCAUGGGUUUUGGAGCAAAUCAGUGAACUGCAAGUACCGAAGGACUGCAAUCCAGAGUAGCAUUUAUUGCUAAGGAGGUAUUACUGGGCCCUAUCUUUGGCCAUCCUAGUCUUGCUGGAGAUGAACUUUUGGGAGAAGAAACUCAUGCUUGAGAGUUAGUUUUUCUCCUGUCAACUUGGUCUAAAUAUCUAUCUCCCUAGCGAUUGCAGUGUUCCAGACCAUUCCAAGAGCUCUCUCCAUGGAAGGGUAGGCUAGUCACUUACCAAAUCAAUGGUCAGUAGUGUUUUCUUGAUAAUGUAAUGAGAAAGUUGGUCUUGGUUGAAUCUGUGGAAGCGUAGAUUCAGUAAAUUUAAUAAAUUAGUUAAUUUAUGGCCUCUGGUUAAGAUGUCUAACAUCUGACCUCUUUAUCUGAUAGGUAGAAUUAAUUUGGUAGAUGCUUAUUUAGCAGUGACUCUGAAGAAGGCUAUGGAGGUGGUAAAAGCUAAAGGAGAUACUUCUCUUGCCUUCAAGAGUAUGCAAUCCAAAUGGUGUAUUAGCAUCCAUACCCAAAUAACUUACAUUACAUAAGGCAUAUGUCCUGUAUAUUUAAGCAUCACAACAGUCCUGUGAAUUGGGUAUUAUUUACGCAGCUUUGCCUCAGUGCAAAGUUUUUCUUUUAUCUAUACCUCAGUUUGGUUUCUGUAAAAUGAAAUGUUAGAUUAAUAACGAUAAUAACAAUGGCUAACAUUUAUAGGGUAGGAUUGUUUGUCAAGAGCUCUGGAACCAUUAGCUAAUUUAAUCCUCACAGCAACUCUGUGAAUUCUAUUCCCCUUUACAGAAAUGCAGUGGGCUUAAGUAACAUGCCCACGGUCAGAGUUGGAACUCACAUCAUCUGGCCCCAAACCCAGUGCUCUUUCCAAGAUGCCAUGCAGCUUUUCCUUCUGGAUGGCUCAUCUCCUUUCUCAUCUAUAAAACCACUCUUUCUUCUGAACUUCAAACAGCUGUUGGUCGUCUCCAGUGAGACAAGAUACAAGAGAGUUCCUUGUGGAUGACUCCACAGUGUAAGGCCAGGUCAUUAACAUGGGAAGGAGAGAAUCAGGUUCAUACGACUCUGAGACAAAGAAAGAGGAAAGAAGUGGACUUGAAUCUCCAUGUUGACAGGUAAGAAGAGACACUUUAUGGCCCAAAUGAUAAAGUAGAGUGUUCAAACUACUUUAGUUAAGUGGCCCAUCCAGCGGAGUACCAAAGAAACACUCUUCUGAAGGCGCCUGUUAAGUGAUAUUCCUGGUCAUUGUCAACGUGGAAAUCCCAGAGCAGGGCAGUAACAUUCACUCUCUUCAUUAACAUUCCCCCCUGCUCUCAGUUUGCAUCUCUCUAUCCAUUUUCUAACUCUGAAUGGAAGUUUCCUGGGAAACCUUUUCUAUGAAUGGAAUGUAUGAAGUUUGUCCCAUGAGAGAAAAAUUAAAAACAACAACAACAAAAGAAAAAACAAAAAAAUGAAAAACCAACACACAGGGAACUACGACACAAAACUUCUUCCCCUGAAUUACUGCAGUCAGGAACAGACCACACCUAUCUUUUUUUAAGGAUGGGUGGAGAUUCUGAUCCUCUGGCAUUCAGUAAUACUAAGAAUAUUGCUCCCUUAAUUUAACGGCAGAGCUUCCUUUCUACUGAUGAAAAAAAAUUAAAAGGGGUUUAAGAUGACUUAGGUAAAAAGAACUGCGGUGGAGUGUUCUCAGUCUCAGAUAAGCAUCCGCUCUUUCUGAUCUGCUCUAUUGUCCGCAAGGUAAUGGCUCAGUUUGUGCAUUGUUCUCCCUGUGCCAGACAGGAGGGAGAGUAAACCUUAUCCACAGGGUCCUAUUACCAGCAGACACCCCCUCCAGUCAGUGGGAGCUCUGGGGACACAGUUCAUUCACCAAUUGAAGGGGAACAGCCAGCAUUUGCACAAGUUACUCAAAUACCCUAUCUCCAAUAAACAUUGAGCUUUUGUGUGUACA